Molecule: long non-coding RNA, 544 nt
Organism: Quercus robur (English oak)
Lineage: Eukaryota; Viridiplantae; Streptophyta; Magnoliopsida; Fagales; Fagaceae
Exons: 2
Source: RefSeq, a predicted model, not a curated record
AAAUAUUUUUAUUCAUAUAAAUUUAAGGAUGUUGCAUUUGCCCAUUGAUGUUAUGCAUUUGUCAACUAUUGAACACGUCCACAAAUGAAUAGAUGAUUUGAAUUUGAAUUUAAUUUUUAUGAACAGGUUGUGAGUGAGUUUGCAUUGUCAUUGGAGUCUAAUACAAUACACCGUCAUCAAAAUUCAAGAAGAAUAAACUCUAUUUACAAAAGCGAAGGACUUCUUUAUCAUAGCUAUUGGCAGCCUGUCUCUUGAUGAGGAUUUCACAAUUCACAAUUGGUUUUUGUUGAAUAUUGGGUCACAUAUCAACAAUUUUGUUGGAUUGCAUACUGGAUAUAUUAGAUGAAUUCGGGUGAAAGACUUUGGAAACAUAUUGUAUGACUCAAGGCUCAUAUAAAGUGGUAGUAAUUAGUUGUUUAAGAACUUUUUUGUAAAAGAAAUUAUCCUGAAUAUCUCUAUAUUUAUCAAUUUGUGUAAUUCUACAUUGGAUUCAAUUUACUGUUUUUUGGAAUGGUAAUGUGCAUAUCAUUAUUUUUCUCAAUCA